GGGAACAUGAGCCAGAUUGGAAAUCGGCGAGGGUAGCGCCCUGAGCAAGUCCGUGUGACGUCCACGGCAUAACGCUAUGUGCAGGUUCGAGUCCUGCUGUUCCCG
Molecule: transfer RNA, 105 nt
Filed under: Streptococcus suis
Lineage: Bacteria; Bacillati; Bacillota; Bacilli; Lactobacillales; Streptococcaceae
Description: tRNA-OTHER
Source: RNAcentral